UGGCAGCAGACGGCUGUGUUCUGCGUCCGGGGCGAAGGCCAGGCGGGCGGUGGCUAGCCCUGAUGGCGCCGGGGGUCGCACCGCGGCACCGUAGCCGCUUAGUGUCCGUCCAUCCGACCGAUUACCGGUGUCAAGUAUCACCGAGAUGUGUCAGACCCAGAUCCCCAGGGUUCUCCUGGGAUUCCUGGAGCCUCUGGGGACAGUCCUGUGGCAGAGGGGUCCAAGUUCCAGAAGGCUGUGAUCACAUCAGCCACAGGUAGAUGGACAUCCUACCUGGCUGUAGCCCUCAUGCUGGUCUGAACAUUGAACUUGGAAAUCCUACUUGGUUGUGCAGCGAGGCCAAAGGCCCACCCAUGCUGUCCCCAGUACUGAGUGACCACCAAAAAGGAGUUCUGGCCUACCAGUGCCCCAUCUCUUCAUGAUCUCCCCUAGGGCCAUGUGAAACUGGGGUUCAGAGAGGGAGCUGAGGAAGGGUGGAAGCAACAGAAAGACAGAUUUCACCUCCAUAUAAGGAAGAGCUUGCUAACAGGCAGAGCUGCCCAGAAAUGGAAGGAGCC
RNAcentral lists this long non-coding RNA (557 nucleotides) under Heterocephalus glaber (naked mole-rat). Its description in RNAcentral is "lncRNA (ENSHGLG00000041484.1)". Lineage: Eukaryota; Metazoa; Chordata; Mammalia; Rodentia; Bathyergidae. The record is from RNAcentral.